ACUAAGCGUACACGGUGGAUGCCCUGGCAGUCAGAGGCGAUGAAGGACGUGCUAAUCUGCGAUAAGCGUCGGUAAGGUGAUAUGAACCGUUAUAACCGGCGAUUUCCGAAUGGGGAAACCCAGUGUGUUUCGACACACUAUCAUUAACUGAAUCCAUAGGUUAAUGAGGCGAACCGGGGGAACUGAAACAUCUAAGUACCCCGAGGAAAAGAAAUCAACCGAGAUUCCCCAGUAGCGGCGAGCGAACGGGGAGCAGCCCAGAGCCUGAAUCAGUGUGUGUGUUAGUGGAAGCGUCUGGAAAGGCGCGCGAUACAGGGUGACAGCCCCGUACACAAAAAUGCACAUAUUGUGAGCUCGAUGAGUAGGGCGGGACACGUGGUAUCCUGUCUGAAUAUGGGGGGACCAUCCUCCAAGGCUAAAUACUCCUGACUGACCGAUAGUGAACCAGUACCGUGAGGGAAAGGCGAAAAGAACCCCGGCGAGGGGAGUGAAAAAGAACCUGAAACCGUGUACGUACAAGCAGUGGGAGCACGCUUAGGCGUGUGACUGCGUACCUUUUGUAUAAUGGGUCAGCGACUUAUAUUCUGUAGCAAGGUUAACCGAAUAGGGGAGCCGAAGGGAAACCGAGUCUUAACUGGGCGUUAAGUUGCAGGGUAUAGACCCGAAACCCGGUGAUCUAGCCAUGGGCAGGUUGAAGGUUGGGUAACACUAACUGGAGGACCGAACCGACUAAUGUUGAAAAAUUAGCGGAUGACUUGUGGCUGGGGGUGAAAGGCCAAUCAAACCGGGAGAUAGCUGGUUCUCCCCGAAAGCUAUUUAGGUAGCGCCUCGUGAAUUCAUCUCCGGGGGUAGAGCACUGUUUCGGCAAGGGGGUCAUCCCGACUUACCAACCCGAUGCAAACUGCGAAUACCGGAGAAUGUUAUCACGGGAGACACACGGCGGGUGCUAACGUCCGUCGUGAAGAGGGAAACAACCCAGACCGCCAGCUAAGGUCCCAAAGUCAUGGUUAAGUGGGAAACGAUGUGGGAAGGCCCAGACAGCCAGGAUGUUGGCUUAGAAGCAGCCAUCAUUUAAAGAAAGCGUAAUAGCUCACUGGUCGAGUCGGCCUGCGCGGAAGAUGUAACGGGGCUAAACCAUGCACCGAAGCUGCGGCAGCGACGCUGAUGCGUUGUUGGGUAGGGGAGCGUUCUGUAAGCCUGUGAAGGUGUACUGUGAGGUAUGCUGGAGGUAUCAGAAGUGCGAAUGCUGACAUAAGUAACGAUAAAGCGGGUGAAAAGCCCGCUCGCCGGAAGACCAAGGGUUCCUGUCCAACGUUAAUCGGGGCAGGGUGAGUCGACCCCUAAGGCGAGGCCGAAAGGCGUAGUCGAUGGGAAACAGGUUAAUAUUCCUGUACUUGGUGUUACUGCGAAGGGGGGACGGAGAAGGCUAUGUUGGCCGGGCGACGGUUGUCCCGGUUUAAGCGUGUAGGCUGGUUUUCCAGGCAAAUCCGGAAAAUCAAGGCUGAGGCGUGAUGACGAGGCACUACGGUGCUGAAGCAACAAAUGCCCUGCUUCCAGGAAAAGCCUCUAAGCAUCAGGUAACAUCAAAUCGUACCCCAAACCGACACAGGUGGUCAGGUAGAGAAUACCAAGGCGCUUGAGAGAACUCGGGUGAAGGAACUAGGCAAAAUGGUGCCGUAACUUCGGGAGAAGGCACGCUGAUAUGUAGGUGAAGUCCCUCGCGGAUGGAGCUGAAAUCAGUCGAAGAUACCAGCUGGCUGCAACUGUUUAUUAAAAACACAGCACUGUGCAAACACGAAAGUGGACGUAUACGGUGUGACGCCUGCCCGGUGCCGGAAGGUUAAUUGAUGGGGUUAGCCGCAAGGCGAAGCUCUUGAUCGAAGCCCCGGUAAACGGCGGCCGUAACUAUAACGGUCCUAAGGUAGCGAAAUUCCUUGUCGGGUAAGUUCCGACCUGCACGAAUGGCGUAAUGAUGGCCAGGCUGUCUCCACCCGAGACUCAGUGAAAUUGAACUCGCUGUGAAGAUGCAGUGUACCCGCGGCAAGACGGAAAGACCCCGUGAACCUUUACUAUAGCUUGACACUGAACAUUGAGCCUUGAUGUGUAGGAUAGGUGGGAGGCUUGGAAGUGUGGACGCCAGUCUGCAUGGAGCCGACCUUGAAAUACCACCCUUUAAUGUUUGAUGUUCUAACGUUGACCCGUAAUCCGGGUUGCGGACAGUGUCUGGUGGGUAGUUUGACUGGGGCGGUCUCCUCCUAAAGAGUAACGGAGGAGCACGAAGGUUGGCUAAUCCUGGUCGGACAUCAGGAGGUUAGUGCAAUGGCAUAAGCCAGCUUGACUGCGAGCGUGACGGCGCGAGCAGGUGCGAAAGCAGGUCAUAGUGAUCCGGUGGUUCUGAAUGGAAGGGCCAUCGCUCAACGGAUAAAAGGUACUCCGGGGAUAACAGGCUGAUACCGCCCAAGAGUUCAUAUCGACGGCGGUGUUUGGCACCUCGAUGUCGGCUCAUCACAUCCUGGGGCUGAAGUAGGUCCCAAGGGUAUGGCUGUUCGCCAUUUAAAGUGGUACGCGAGCUGGGUUUAGAACGUCGUGAGACAGUUCGGUCCCUAUCUGCCGUGGGCGCUGGAGAACUGAGGGGGGCUGCUCCUAGUACGAGAGGACCGGAGUGGACGCAUCACUGGUGUUCGGGUUGUCAUGCCAAUGGCACUGCCCGGUAGCUAAAUGCGGAAGAGAUAAGUGCUGAAAGCAUCUAAGCACGAAACUUGCCCCGAGAUGAGUUCUCCCUGACCCUUUAAGGGUCCUGAAGGAACGUUGAAGACGACGACGUUGAUAGGCCGGGUGUGUAAGCGCAGCGAUGCGUUGAGCUAACCGGUACUAAUGAACCGUGAGGCUUAACC
Molecule: ribosomal RNA, 2894 nt
Filed under: Escherichia coli O25:H16
Lineage: Bacteria; Pseudomonadati; Pseudomonadota; Gammaproteobacteria; Enterobacterales; Enterobacteriaceae
Description: bacterial LSU rRNA
Rfam family: Bacterial large subunit ribosomal RNA
Source: RNAcentral